UAAGAGAAUGGAAUAUAUUUAGAAUUUAGAAUUAAUUUAGGUAAAAAUAAGUUUAAUAAAGUGCCAGCAGAUGCGGUUAUACUUUUUUAUAGAUAAAAUAGAUAGUUUUUUAGCAAAUAAAUAUAAAUUUAUUUAUAGAAGUAGAAUUUAAAUAAAAUUUAUUUUUAGCGAAGAGAUAAAUUAUAAAUUGAAAAAGAUUAGAUACCUUUGUAAUAAAAAUUUAUAGGUAGUAAUAGAUAUGCUAGAAACCUAGAAGAAGAUGGUGGCUUUUAUAGUAUUUAGGGGAAUCUGACCUGUAAUUGAUGAUCCGCAAUUAAAUUUUUUAUUUUAAUUAUUUAUAUCGUUGUUUAGAUUUCUUUAUAAAAAAUCAAUCUUAUAAAAAUAAUUUAUAAAAAUAAAUCAAGAUGAAGAUUAUAUAAAAAAUAGAGUUGGAUUACUUUGAAAAUUAGUGGAAAGAGAUUAUAGUUUUUUGAAAGAGGACUUAUUAGUAAUAUUUAUAAUAAAAUUUUAAUAUGAAAUACUUUAAAAAAGCACACAUAUUGCCCGUCAUUUCUAAUUUAUUAGGACAAGUCGACACAUAGUAGAUCUAGCGGAAGCUGGAUCUUUAUCUUU
This 612-nucleotide ribosomal RNA is filed under the name Pyemotes zhonghuajia. Its description in RNAcentral is "12S ribosomal RNA". The record is from RNAcentral. Lineage: Eukaryota; Metazoa; Arthropoda; Arachnida; Trombidiformes; Pyemotidae.